CAAGGAAGGCAGCAGGCGCGCAAAUUACCCACUCCCGGCACGGGGAGGUAGUGACGAAAAAUAACGAUACGGGACUCAUCCGAGGCCCCGUAAUCGGAAUGAGUACACUUUAAAUCCUUUAACGAGGAUCAAUUGGAGGGCAAGUCUGGUGCCAGCAGCCGCGGUAAUUCCAGCUCCAAUAGCGUAUAUUAAAGUUGUUGCGGUUAAAAAGCUCGUAGUCGAAUCUGUGUCGUGCGCCGCCGGUUCAUCGCUCGCGGUGUCAACUGGCGUGUCGCAGGACGUCCUGCCGGUGGACUUAGCUUCGGUCGUCGGGCGUGCCGUCCUUUAACCGGGACGCGCGUUCGCGGUCGCGGCGGUCCAACUUCAACAAUCCCACCGCGGUGCUCUUCGCUGAGUGUCGAGGUGGGCCGGCACGUUUACUUUGAACAAAUUAGAGUGCUUAAAGCAGGCUAAAAUCUCGCCUGAAUACUGUGUGCAUGGAAUAAUGGAAUAGGACCUCGGUUCUAUUUUGUUGGUUUUCGGAACCCCGAGGUAAUGAUUAAUAGGAACGGAUGGGGGCAUUCGUAUUGCGACGUUAGAGGUGAAAUUCUUGGAUCGUCGCAAGACGAACUUAAGCGAAAGCAUUUGCCAAAAACGUUUUCAUUGAUCAAGAACGAAAGUUAGAGGUUCGAAGGCGAUCAGAUACCGCCCUAGUUCUAACCAUAAACGAUGCCAGCUAGCGAUCCGCCGACGUUCCUCCGAUGACUCGGCGGGCAGCUUCCGGGAAACCAAAGCUUUUGGGUUCCGGGGGAAGU
This 794-nucleotide ribosomal RNA is filed under the name Catacraerus sp. MSC-2013. RNAcentral describes it as "SSU rRNA". It matches the Rfam family "Eukaryotic small subunit ribosomal RNA", at positions 417 to 1124 of the family's 1831-position model. The record is from RNAcentral. Lineage: Eukaryota; Metazoa; Arthropoda; Insecta; Coleoptera; Histeridae.